UCUGUGACUUUUUAUCAAACGUCAAAACGUUCGCUUAGUAAGGGAGCUUGUAUGAAAUACACAGAUGUGACAUCAUAAGUAUUUGACAUAAUUUGGCCAUGGAUGUUUUUCUG
Molecule: long non-coding RNA, 113 nt
Organism: Maniola jurtina (meadow brown)
Lineage: Eukaryota; Metazoa; Arthropoda; Insecta; Lepidoptera; Nymphalidae
Exons: 3
Source: RefSeq, a predicted model, not a curated record